GUCGUGCGAGAAAGUAUCUUCGGAUAUGAGUAGAGCGGCGGACGGGUGAGUAACGCGUAGGAAUCUACCUAGUAGAAGGGGAUAGCCCGAGGAAACUCGGAUUAAUACCGUAUACCUCCUUCGGGAGAAAGAAGGCCUCUCUUUGAAGCUUUCGCUACUAGAUGAGCCUGCGUAAGAUUAGCUUGUUGGUGAGGUAAAGGCUCACCAAGGCUACGAUCUUUAGCGGGUCUGAGAGGACGAUCCGCCACAUUGGGACUGAGACACGGCCCAGACUCCUACGGGAGGCAGCAGUGGGGAAUAUUGGACAAUGGGCGAAAGCCUGAUCCAGCCAUACCGCGUGUGUGAAGAAGGCCCUAGGGUUGUAAAGCACUUUAAGUUGGGAGGAAAAGUUAUUGGUUAAUACCCAAUGACCGUGACAUUACCAUCAGAAUAAGGACCGGCUAAUUCCGUGCAGCGGCCGCGGUAAUACGGAAGGUCCAAGCGUUAAUCGGAAUUACUGGGCGUAAAGCGCGCGUAGGUGGUUUAUUAAGUUGGGUGUGAAAUCCCCGGGCUCAACCUGGGAACUGCAUCCAAAACUGAUUCACUAGAGUACGAUAGAGGGAGGUAGAAUUCACAGUGUAGCGGUGGAAUGCGUAGAUAUUGUGAAGAAUACCAAUGGCGAAGGCAGCCUCCUGGAUCUGUACUGACACUGAGGUGCGAAAGCGUGGGUAGCGAACAGGAUUAGAUACCCUGGUAGUCCACGCCGUAAACGAUGUCAACUAUCUGUUGGAAAGCAUUGCUUUUUCAGUGGAGCAGCUAACGUAAUAAGUUGACCGCUGGGGAGUACGGCCG
This 831-nucleotide ribosomal RNA is filed under the name uncultured Gammaproteobacteria bacterium. RNAcentral's name for it is "bacterial SSU rRNA". It matches the Rfam family "Bacterial small subunit ribosomal RNA", at positions 61 to 888 of the family's 1533-position model. Lineage: Bacteria; Pseudomonadati; Pseudomonadota; Gammaproteobacteria. The record is from RNAcentral.